RNAcentral lists this unclassified non-coding RNA (413 nucleotides) under soil metagenome. RNAcentral's name for it is "partial contains 5.8S ribosomal RNA, internal transcribed spacer 2, and large subunit ribosomal RNA". The stretch from base 1 to 120 matches the Rfam family "5.8S ribosomal RNA", at positions 35 to 154 of the family's 154-position model. The record is from RNAcentral.
GAUGAAGAACGCAGCGAAAUGCGAUAAGUAAUGUGAAUUGCAGAAUUGAGUGAAUCAUCGAAUCUUUGAACGCACCUUGCGCUCUUUGGUAUUCCGAAGAGCAUGCCUGUUUGAGUGUCAUGAAAAUAUCAACCUUGACUUGGGUUUUGUGCUCUAGUCUCGGCUUGGAAUUGGGUGCUUGCCGCUUUUACGAGCGGCUCACCUUAAAUGUAUUAGCUGGAUCUGUCUUUGAGACUUGGUUUGACUUGGCGUAAUAAGUAUUUCGCUAAGGACAUUCUUCGGAGUGGCCUCGUUUCUAGGACGCUUGUCCGCUUUCCAAUACAAGUUCCACCUCGUGGACAUGACUUUUUAUUAUCUGGCCUCAAAUCAGGUAGGACUACCCGCUGAACUUAAGCAUAUCAAUAAGCGGAGGA